Molecule: long non-coding RNA, 351 nt
Organism: Gallus gallus (chicken)
Lineage: Eukaryota; Metazoa; Chordata; Aves; Galliformes; Phasianidae
Source: Ensembl
AUUUAAGGGCUGACUGCCAGGGGGUAAGGUUCUUUUUUUUUUUGGAGAUACCUUCAAGCAUAGACUCUUAAUUUGGACAAGAAGAAAAGAAAUAAAGAUGAACAAGAAGGUUGGAAGAAUGAGUGAAGAUGGAAGACCGCACAGAAAGUCAGCUGUGUUGCUGUUGAAGAGAAUGAAGAUAAACAGAGCAUGCACUGUGGACAGGACUGCCUUCUGCUUUCAUCCUUAGCUCUGUGUCCUUGUGCAACACUGCACAUCAGGUGGAUUUUGUCCUCCAUCAGGAGAUCGUUCCUUUUGUAUGCUCUACUGCUUGCCAAGUGCAUCAGGAUCCUUUGGAAGACAAAGAAUGGG